Molecule: long non-coding RNA, 688 nt
Filed under: Monodelphis domestica (gray short-tailed opossum)
Lineage: Eukaryota; Metazoa; Chordata; Mammalia; Didelphimorphia; Didelphidae
Description: lncRNA (ENSMODG00000045314.1)
Source: RNAcentral
CCCCUCUAAAUCUCAAUUGUCCAAAACUCGGUCUCCACUAAUAGAGUCAAGAACCCAGUGUCUCUGCGUGUCACAAUAUAUGUAGAACACUCUAGAAAACAAAUACCAACUGAGUAAUAACUCUCUAAGACUGUUGUUAGAAUCCUACAAGUUUUACAAAUGUAAAAGGAAAAAAAUAACUUGCUCAAGAAUACAUGGUAGUCUUUAAGUUGACCAAGAAGAUUUAUGAGAAAAAAAAUAUUCAUAGUAUUUGAAGGAGUCUUCUCUUCUAUUAGGGGAAAUUUUUUUAAAAGAUACAAAAAAAUGAGUAAAAGCUACAGAUGGAAAAAUCCUGAAAUAACUGUGCAUGAUGCAGGUGGGCUGAAAAACUUUUGGGAGAAAAAAAUUGAACAUCAUGCAAAGAAAGUACAAAAUGAAGACUCUCGAAUAAGCAAGAGUGCCCUGGAUAAGCUCCGCUGUGAAUGGGCUCAGAGACUGGAAAGAAGAAUCAAGAUGCUACAGCAGCCUGAGGAAGUAUCCAAGAAGUCAUCUCUAAUCCCUAUUGAAUCUUUCCCCCUUAUUGAUAAAACAGUAGCCUGAAGUUAUAACUAAAAUGACAAAAUAGGGAAAGUGUUGUUUCAUGGGGAAUGAAAGCCCCUUUAGGAAAUUCCUGUGGAGCAGCAAAAAAAUAAAGUAAAAAUGAAUCCCA